RNAcentral lists this ribosomal RNA (253 nucleotides) under uncultured bacterium. RNAcentral describes it as "partial 16S ribosomal RNA". It matches the Rfam family "Bacterial small subunit ribosomal RNA", at positions 524 to 776 of the family's 1533-position model. The record is from RNAcentral.
UACAGAGGUCUCAAGCGUUGUUCGGAUUCAUUGGGCGUAAAGGGUGCGUAGGCGGCGCGGUAAGUCGGGUGUGAAAUCUCGGGGCUUAACUCCGAAACUGCAUUCGAUACUGCCGUGCUUGAGGACUGGAGAGGAGACUGGAAUUUACGGUGUAGCGGUGAAAUGCGUAGAUAUCGUAAGGAAGACCAGUGGCGAAGGCGGGUCUCUGGACAGUUCCUGACGCUGAGGCACGAAAGCGUGGGGAGCAAACAGG